ACUAUGGUGGAAAGCCGGGGACCGCAAGGCCUGGCGCUAACAGAUGAGCCCAAGUCGGAUUAGCUAGUUGGUAGGGUAAUGGCCUACCAAGGCGACGAUCCGUAACUGGUCUGAGAGGACGACCAGUCUCACCGGAACUGAGACACGGUCCGGACUCCUACGGGAGGCAGCAGUGGGGAAUAUUGGACAAUGGGGGCAACCCUGAUCCAGCGACGCCGCGUGGGUGAAGAAGGCCUGCGGGUUGUAAAGCCCUUUCGGUGGGGAAGAAAAGUUGCGACCUAACACGUUGCGACCUUGACGUAACCCACUAAAGAAGCACCGGCUAACUCUGUGCCAGCAGCCGCGGUAAUACGGAGGGUGCGAGCGUUAAUCGGAAUUACUGGGCGUAAAGCGCGCGUAGGCGGCUUUUCAAGUCGAUUGUGAAAUCCCCGGGCUUAACCUGGGAACUGCAGUCGAGACUGUCUAGCUAGAGUAUGGGAGAGGGAAGUGGAAUUUCAGGUGUAGCGGUGAAAUGCGUAGAUAUCUGAAGGAACAUCAGUGGCGAAAGCGACUUCCUGGACCAAUACUGACGCUCAUGUGCGAAAGCGUGGGGAGCAAACAGGAUUAGAUACCCUGGUAGUCCACGCCAUAAACGAUGAGAACUGGAUGUCGGAGGGGUCUGCCCUUCGGUGUCGUAGCUAACGCGUUAAGUUCUCCGCCUGGGGAGUACGACCGCAAGGUUGAAACUCAAAGGAAUUGACGGGGACCCGCACAAGCGGUGGAGCAUGUGGUUUAAUUCGAUGCAACGCGAAGAACCUUACCUGGUCUUGACAUCCUAGGAACCUCGCAGAGAUGUGGGGGUGCCUUCGGGAACCUGGAGACAGGUGCUGCAUGGCUGUCGUCAGCUCGUGUCGUGAGAUGUUGGGUUAAGUCCCGCAACGAGCGCAACCCUUGCCCUUAGUUGCCAGCAUUAAGUUGGGAACUCUAAGGGGACCGCCGGUGACAAACCGGAGGAAGGUGGGGAUGACGUCAGGUCAUCAUGGCCCUUAUGACCAGGGCUACACACGUGCUACAAUGGCCAGUACAAAGGGUUGCCAACCCGCGAGGGGGAGCCAAUCCCAGAAAGCUGGUCGUAGUCCGGAUCGCAGUCUGCAACUCGGCUGCGUGAAGUCGGAAUCGCUAGUAAUCGUGAAUCAGCGAUGUCACGGUGAAUACGUUCCCGGGUCUUGUACACACCGCCCGUCACACCAUGGGAGUUGAUUGCACCAGAAGUAGGUAGCCUAACCACAAGGAGGGCGCUUACCACGGUGUGGUCAAUGACUGGGGUGAAGUCGUAACAAGGUA
This 1323-nucleotide ribosomal RNA is filed under the name metagenome. Its description in RNAcentral is "bacterial SSU rRNA". It matches the Rfam family "Bacterial small subunit ribosomal RNA", at positions 193 to 1498 of the family's 1533-position model. The record is from RNAcentral.